UACGUAGGGACCGAGCGUUGUCCGGAAUCAUUGGGCGUAAAGAGCGUGUAGGCGGCUUGCUAAGUCUUGCGUGAAAUCUCGGGGCUCAACCCCGAGCGGUCGUGGGAAACUGGCAGGCUAGAGUGCGGGAGAGGAGAAUGGAAUUCCUGGUGUAGCGGUGAAAUGCGCAGAUAUCAGGAAGAACACCCGUGGCGAAGGCGGUUCUCUGGGACGGUACUGACGCUGAGACGCGAAAGCGUGGGGAGCGAACAGG
Molecule: ribosomal RNA, 253 nt
Filed under: uncultured bacterium
Lineage: Bacteria
Description: partial 16S ribosomal RNA
Rfam family: Bacterial small subunit ribosomal RNA
Source: RNAcentral